CAAGCCGACUCGCCUCUCUUUAUAAGCAGCCGCGCUAGUGCUGGAAAUCACUUCCAAAAAUCGAUUCACUCUCUUUUUCUAUUGUUCUCGUCUUUGUAGAUGUAAAUUCUUUGUUUUGAAGUUUGUUUUUCUGCUUUGUUUCGCUUAGAAGAUGAAUGGGGGACGGUGACGAUUUCAGCAUGAAAGGUCUCGUUCGUCGUAAUUGGCCAACAGGCCUUGACGACCAUCCUGCUAUAUCACCACCCAUAUUCCGAGUCCCCCUUCUUCAAUCUCAAUUUUUUUUUUCUUUUUUCUUAAUAUGAUUGAGAAUCGGCCGAUGAUCGAACAACAUUUAAAGACAAGCAUAUGUCUGAAAUUAUCAAUGUUGAUCAAUCUAAUCUUCUUUCUGAGGCCUAUAUUUUUUUUAAGCUUAGUACUGAAAAGUAGUCGUGUUUCUUCUUUGCUUCUCCAGUGAUGAAAGAAAUGGUAUAUUUUGUCACAUAUGAUAAAUCUGUGAUUACUUGCAUACCACUACUGCCUUCCUUCUGAGGCUUAUUAAUCUCUUGCUUUUUAUUUCUUAUUUGUUUGUUUUUUUUUAAAUUACCUCAUUAUUAAAUUGUAGAAAAUGGGUCAUAUGAUGAUCGUAAGCAUAGUUCAACUGAUAAUCUUUGUGAUUAAGAAACUUUUGUCUUUCGCUCCUAUCUGAUGAUCCAUUUAUGUGAAAUAAAUUUUCUUGUUGCCACAUUCAGGAUCUCAAUUUGGGUGUUUCAAUUAUACGAACUAAGUGGGGUUUUGAAUGACCUAGACAUUUGUUUUUCCUGGCUUACUUGCCUUUCUCUUUUCUUGGUGGUUGAUUGUUGAGGGAAACGGGAAUAAAACUAGCUUGUUUGAGAUUUCGGUGGCCUUCAAUUAUCAAAUUUGUAUGAAUUAUUUCAAACAGGCGCUUAUCCUCUCUCCUGGGCUUGCUGCCAGCCCUUGAAAAUGGCAAGUUGACUGUAUGUUUGCCUGGUGCUGAUCUCAGAUUUGUACCCUUCAGCUCUGGAAUCAGAUGAGGUCGAACGUUCUGAUGUUUGUUGAUAGUGGGUUAUGCAUUGGCAAUUCUUAUCCACAAUAUUUUAAAAUCUAAUAAAAAUGUAUUUUGUAGUUUGGGAAAUAAAUUUCUUAAUUUUUAUUAAUGAACAUCAAUUGAUUUAUUAGAAUUUUAGUCAUAAAUGUUAAAAUUAGAAAUUCAGGAUUAAAUAAUAUAAUUAUUAAGAAUAAUUAAAAAAUUUUAUAAAUUAAGGGAUCUUUUAGUUGGAUUUUUAAUAAUAAAUGAUAAUAAGUAAAUUGAAUAAAAUGGUAAGAAUCUAUUUUUGGUGUAUUUUCCGAUUUAGAUAUUAGUAUUUAUAUGAUUUUGCAUUAUUCUUGUGUAGUAG
RNAcentral lists this long non-coding RNA (1394 nucleotides) under Manihot esculenta (cassava). RNAcentral describes it as "long non-coding RNA (MESC_LNC009937)". The stretch from base 161 to 258 matches the Rfam family "Small nucleolar RNA Z43". Lineage: Eukaryota; Viridiplantae; Streptophyta; Magnoliopsida; Malpighiales; Euphorbiaceae. The record is from RNAcentral.